Molecule: ribosomal RNA, 301 nt
Filed under: uncultured bacterium
Lineage: Bacteria
Description: partial 16S ribosomal RNA
Rfam family: Bacterial small subunit ribosomal RNA
Source: RNAcentral
CAGUCGCCACGGUAAAACGUAGGUGGCAAGCGUUGUCCGGAAUUAUUGGGCGUAAAGGGCUCGCAGGCGGUUUCUUAAGUCUGAUGUGAAAGCCCCCGGCUCAACCGGGGAGGGUCAUUGGAAACUGGGAAACUUGAGUGCAGAAGAGGAGAGUGGAAUUCCACGUGUAGCGGUGAAAUGCGUAGAGAUGUGGAGGAACACCAGUGGCGAAGGCGACUCUCUGGUCUGUAACUGACGCUGAGGAGCGAAAGCGUGGGGAGCGAACAGGAUUAGAUACCCCCGUAGUCCCUGUCUCUUAUAC